RNAcentral lists this ribosomal RNA (1059 nucleotides) under uncultured Cryobacterium sp. RNAcentral's name for it is "bacterial SSU rRNA". It matches the Rfam family "Bacterial small subunit ribosomal RNA", at positions 337 to 1394 of the family's 1533-position model. Lineage: Bacteria; Bacillati; Actinomycetota; Actinomycetes; Micrococcales; Microbacteriaceae. The record is from RNAcentral.
UCCUACGGGAGGCAGCAGUGGGGAAUAUUGCAUAAUGGGCGCAAGCCUGAUGCAGCAACGCCGCGUGAGGGACGAAGGCCUUCGGGUUGUAAACCUCUUUUAGUAGGGAAGAAGCGACUGGGUUUUCCUGGGAGUGACGGUACCUGCAGAAAAAGCACCGGCUAACUACGUGCCAGCAGCCGCGGUAAUACGUAGGGUGCAAGCGUUGUCCGGAAUUAUUGGGCGUAAAGAGCUCGUAGGCGGUUUGUCGCGUCUGCUGUGAAAACCCGAGGCUCAACCUCGGGCCUGCAGUGGGUACGGGCAGACUAGAGUGCGGUAGGGGAGAUUGGAAUUCCUGGUGUAGCGGUGGAAUGCGCAGAUAUCAGGAGGAACACCAAUGGCGAAGGCAGAUCUCUGGGCCGUAACUGACGCUGAGGAGCGAAAGCAUGGGGAGCGAACAGGAUUAGAUACCCUGGUAGUCCAUGCCGUAAACGUUGGGAACUAGAUGUGGGGACCAUUCCACGGUCUCCGUGUCGCAGCUAACGCAUUAAGUUCCCCGCCUGGGGAGUACGGCCGCAAGGCUAAAACUCAAAGGAAUUGACGGGGGCCCGCACAAGCGGCGGAGCAUGCGGAUUAAUUCGAUGCAACGCGAAGAACCUUACCAAGGCUUGACAUAUACCGGAAACGGCUGGAAACAGUCGCCCCGCAAGGUCGGUAUACAGGUGGUGCAUGGUUGUCGUCAGCUCGUGUCGUGAGAUGUUGGGUUAAGUCCCGCAACGAGCGCAACCCUCGUCCUAUGUUGCCAGCACGUAAUGGUGGGAACUCAUGGGAUACUGCCGGGGUCAACUCGGAGGAAGGUGGGGAUGACGUCAAAUCAUCAUGCCCCUUAUGUCUUGGGCUUCACGCAUGCUACAAAGGCCGGUACAAAGGGCUGCGAUACCGCAAGGUGGAGCGAAUCCCAAAAAGCCGGUCUCAGUUCGGAUUGAGGUCUGCAACUCGACCUCAUGAAGUCGGAGUCGCUAGUAAUCGCAGAUCAGCAACGCUGCGGUGAAUGCGUUCCCGGGCCUUGUACACACCGCC